RNAcentral lists this ribosomal RNA (1484 nucleotides) under uncultured bacterium. RNAcentral describes it as "16S ribosomal RNA". It matches the Rfam family "Bacterial small subunit ribosomal RNA". The record is from RNAcentral.
UGGCUCAGGAUGAACGCUAGCGACAGGCCUAACACAUGCAAGUCGAGGGGCAUCGGGGCGAGGAGCAAUCCUUGCCGCCGGCGACCGGCGCACGGGUGAGUAACGCGUAUGCGACCUGCCCGUUGCAGGGGGAUAAUCGGGAGAAAUCCCGUCUAAUACCGCGUAACGCCGCGGGGCUGCAUGGCCCUGCGGCCAAAGGGAGCGAUUCCGGCAACGGAUGGGCAUGCGUGACAUUAGCUAGUUGGCGGGGCAACGGCCCACCAAGGCGACGAUGUCUAGGGGUUCUGAGAGGAAGGUCCCCCACACUGGUACUGAGACACGGACCAGACUCCUACGGGAGGCAGCAGUGAGGAAUAUUGGUCAAUGGGCGCGAGCCUGAACCAGCCAAGUCGCGUGAGGGAUGACGGCCCUACGGGUUGUAAACCUCUUUUGUCGGGGAGCAAAUUCCGCCACGUGUGGCGGAGUCGAGAGUACCCGAAGAAAAAGCAUCGGCUAACUCCGUGCCAGCAGCCGCGGUAAUACGGAGGAUGCGAGCGUUAUCCGGAUUUAUUGGGUUUAAAGGGUGCGUAGGCGGACUGUCAAGUCAGCGGUAAAAUACGGGGGCUCAACCUCCGCCCGCCGUUGAAACUGACGGUCUUGAGUGGGCGAGAAGUAUGCGGAAUGCGUGGUGUAGCGGUGAAAUGCAUAGAUAUCACGCAGAACUCCGAUUGCGAAGGCAGCAUACCGGCGCCCAACUGACGCUGAAGCACGAAAGCGUGGGUAUCGAACAGGAUUAGAUACCCUGGUAGUCCACGCAGUAAACGAUGAAUACUAGCUGUCCGGGGCGAAUGAGCCCUGGGUGGCACAGCGAAAGCGUUAAGUAUCCCACCUGGGGAGUACGCCGGCAACGGUGAAACUCAAAGGAAUUGACGGGGGCCCGCACAAGCGGAGGAACAUGUGGUUUAAUUCGAUGAUACGCGAGGAACCUUACCCGGGCUCAAACGACACAGGAACGUACCUGAAAGGGUUCGGCUCUACGGAGCCUGUGUCGAGGUGCUGCAUGGUUGUCGUCAGCUCGUGCCGUGAGGUGUCGGCUUAAGUGCCAUAACGAGCGCAACCCCCAUCGACAGUUGCUAACAGGUUAGGCUGAGGACUCUGUCGAGACUGCCGGCGCAAGCUGCGAGGAAGGCGGGGAUGACGUCAAAUCAGCACGGCCCUUACGUCCGGGGCGACACACGUGUUACAAUGGCAGGUACAGCGGGAAGCCACCUGGCGACAGGGAGCGGAACCCGAAAGCCUGUCUCAGUUCGGAUUGGAGUCUGCAACCCGACUCCAUGAAGCUGGAUUCGCUAGUAAUCGCGCAUCAGCCACGGCGCGGUGAAUACGUUCCCGGGCCUUGUACACACCGCCCGUCAAGCCAUGGAAGCCGGGGGUGCCUGAAGUGCGCUGCCGCGAGGAGCGCCCUAGGGUAAAACCGGUGACUGGGGCUAAGUCGUAACAAGGUA